Molecule: ribosomal RNA, 428 nt
Filed under: Bacteroidota bacterium
Lineage: Bacteria; Pseudomonadati; Bacteroidota
Description: Bacteroidetes bacterium partial 16S ribosomal RNA
Rfam family: Bacterial small subunit ribosomal RNA
Source: RNAcentral
UAGGGAAUCUUCCGCAAUGGACGCAAGUCUGACGGAGCAACGCCGCGUGAGUGAAGAAGGAUUUAGGUUCGUAAAACUCUGUUGUUAGAGAAGAACAGCGCAUAGAGUAACUGUUAUGCGUGUGACGGUAUCUAACCAGAAAGGGACGGCUAACUACGUGCCAGCAGCCGCGGUAAUACGUAGGUCCCGAGCGUUGUCCGGAUUUAUUGGGCGUAAAGCGAGCGCAGGCGGUUAGAUAAGUCUGAAGUUAAAGGCAGUGGCUCAACCAUUGUAGGCUUUGGAAACUGUUUAGCUUGAGUGCAGAAGGGGGGAGUGGAAUUCCAUGUGUAGCGGUGAAAUGCGUAGAUAUAUGGAAGAACACCGGUGGCGAGAGCGGCUCUCUGGUCUGUAACUGACGCUGAGGCUCGAAAGCGUGGGGAGCGAACAGG